Molecule: long non-coding RNA, 278 nt
Organism: Saccostrea echinata
Lineage: Eukaryota; Metazoa; Mollusca; Bivalvia; Ostreida; Ostreidae
Exons: 3
Source: RefSeq, a predicted model, not a curated record
CGAUAUGGUAAGAAUUGUGAGCUGAUAUGCCAUUGUGCAAAACAGGACUGUCACCACAUCUAUGGUUGCAAAAAACAUCCCUCAGAGUGUGAAGAUGGAGAAAUUGGACUUUAUUGUGAGCUACCAUGUCCGUAUCCAGCUUUUGGUAAGGAAUGCCAGAAGAAAUGCAUUUGUGAACAGCAUCAUUGUGACAUUAAACUUGGAUGUACAGGUACAUCAACUUUCAUUGAAGAAUACAUCACGAGUCCUGUCUUUCAUGCUUAUUCUUCUAUCAGCCC